Molecule: ribosomal RNA, 496 nt
Filed under: uncultured bacterium
Lineage: Bacteria
Description: partial 16S ribosomal RNA
Rfam family: Bacterial small subunit ribosomal RNA
Source: RNAcentral
GAUGAACGCUGGCGGCGUGCCUAAUACAUGCAAGUCGAGCGAACAGACGAGGAGCUUGCUCCUCUGACGUUAGCGGCGGACGGGUGAGUAACACGUGGAUAACCUACCUAUAAGACUGGGAUAACUUCGGGAAACCGGAGCUAAUACCGGAUAAUAUAUUGAACCGCAUGGUUCAAUAGUGAAAGACGGUUUUGCUGUCACUUAUAGAUGGAUCCGCGCCGCAUUAGCUAGUUGGUAAGGUAACGGCUUACCAAGGCAACGAUGCGUAGCCGACCUGAGAGGGGAAUCGGCCACACUGGAACUGAGACACGGUCCAGCCUCCUACGGGAGGCAGCAGUAGGGACUCUUCCGCAAUGGGCGAAAGCUUGACGGAGCAACGCCGCGUGAGUGAUGAAGGUCUUCGGAUCGUAAAACUCUGUUAUUAGGGAAGAACAAAUGUGUAAGUAACUAUGCACGUCUUGACGGUACCUAAUCAGAAAGCCACGGCUAACUACGU